AGUGAACGCUGGCGGUAGGCCUAACACAUGCAAGUCGAACGGCAGCACAGUAAGAGCCUGCUCUUACGGGUGGCGAGUGGCGGACGGGUGAGGAAUACAUCGGAAUCUACUUUUUCGUGGGGGUUAACGUAGGGAAACUUACGCUAAUACCGCAUACGACCUACGGGUGCAAGCAGGGGAUCUUCGGACUUUGCGCGAUUGAAUGAGCCGAUGUCGGAUUAGCUAGUUGGCGGGGUAAAGGCCCACCACGGCGACGAUCUGUAGCUGGUCUGAGAGGAUGAUCAGCCACACUGGAACUGAGACACGGUCCAGACUCCUACGGGAGGCAGCAGUGGGGAAUAUUGGACAAGGGGCGCAAGCCUGAUCCAGCCAUACCGCGUGGGUGAAGAAGGCCUUCGGGUUGUAAAGCCCUUUUGUUGGGAAAGAAAAGCAGCAGGUUAAUACCCCGCUGUUCUGACGGUACCCAAAGAAUAAGCACCGGCUAACUUCGUG
Molecule: ribosomal RNA, 492 nt
Filed under: uncultured bacterium
Lineage: Bacteria
Description: partial 16S ribosomal RNA
Rfam family: Bacterial small subunit ribosomal RNA
Source: RNAcentral